GACGUAGGGCGCGAGCGUUGUCCGGAUUUAUUGGGCGUAAAGAGCUCGUAGGCGGCUUGUUGCGUCGACUGUGAAAACCCGCGGCUUAACUGCGGGCUUGCAGUUGAUACGGGCAGGCUAGAGUUCGGUAGGGGAGACUGGAAUUCCUGGUGUAGCGGUGAAAUGCGCAGAUAUCAGGAGGAACACCGGUGGCGAAGGCGGCUCACUGGCUCAUUUCUGACGCUCAGGCGCGACAGCGUGGGGAUCAAACAGG
RNAcentral lists this ribosomal RNA (253 nucleotides) under uncultured bacterium. RNAcentral's name for it is "partial 16S ribosomal RNA". It matches the Rfam family "Bacterial small subunit ribosomal RNA", at positions 524 to 776 of the family's 1533-position model. The record is from RNAcentral.